This 478-nucleotide ribosomal RNA is filed under the name uncultured bacterium. Its description in RNAcentral is "partial 16S ribosomal RNA". It matches the Rfam family "Bacterial small subunit ribosomal RNA", at positions 28 to 523 of the family's 1533-position model. The record is from RNAcentral.
GACGAACGCUGGCGGCAUGCCUAACACAUGCAAGUCGAGCGAGCAGAUCCCUUCGGGGUGAAGCUAGCGGCGGACGGGUGAGUAACACGUGGGCAACCUGCCUCAUAGAGGGGAAUAACCUUCCGAAAGGAAGAUUAAUACCGCAUAAGAUUGUAGCUUCGCAUGAAGCAGCAAUUAAAGGAGCAAUCCGCUAUGAGAUGGGCCCGCGGCGCAUUAGCUAGUUGGUGAGGUAACGGCUCACCAAGGCGACGAUGCGUAGCCGACCUGAGAGGGUGAUCGGCCACAUUGGGACUGAGACACGGCCCAGACUCCUACGGGAGGCAGCAGUGGGGAAUAUUGCACAAUGGGGGAAACCCUGAUGCAGCAAUGCCGCGUGAGUGAUGACGGCCUUCGGGUUGUAAAGCACUGUCUUUGGGGACGAUAAUGACGGUACCCGAGGAGGAAGCCACGGCUAACUACGUGCCAGCCGCCGCAGUAA